RNAcentral lists this long non-coding RNA (505 nucleotides) under Capra hircus (goat). Its description in RNAcentral is "lncRNA (ENSCHIG00000005837.1)". The record is from RNAcentral. Lineage: Eukaryota; Metazoa; Chordata; Mammalia; Artiodactyla; Bovidae.
CGGGGUCGCUGAGGGUUGGACACGACUGAGCGACUUCACUUUCACUUUUCACUUUCAUGCAUUGGAGAAGGAAAUGGCAACCCACUCCAGUGUUCUUGCCUGGAGAAUCCCAGGGACGGGGGAGCCUGGUGGGCUGCCGUCUAUGGGGUCGCAUAGAGUCGGACACGACUGAAACAACUUAGCAGCAGCAGCAGAUGGCCGAGGAAAUACGGAUGCACAUCACAGCAAGUGAACUGCUCUUUCAAUGUGGUGAUUAUGAAGCUUUUUUUGAUGUUGGUAAUGAUCCAGAACCGCUUAUGAUUUUGAUAGAUCUAGCAUUUGUCAGCAGUCAGCAAUUUUGUACCAAAUUGAAGCUGAAGAUUUUUCUCUUGUCUUCCAAAGGUCCUCUUAUUUGAUUGAGGAGACUAUAAAAGUCAUACGGUGUAACUGCAUUGUUUCCGCUGUCAAUUUCUUUAGUUAAACUGCAAACUCUCUGCAUGAUUGGAGACUGUAAAAGGGUCAGAGG